RNAcentral lists this transfer RNA (71 nucleotides) under Candidatus Palauibacter polyketidifaciens. Its description in RNAcentral is "tRNA-OTHER". Lineage: Bacteria; Pseudomonadati; Gemmatimonadota; Gemmatimonadia; Candidatus Palauibacterales; Candidatus Palauibacteraceae. The record is from RNAcentral.
GCCGUAAAUCACAAACCCUGAUCGACGUUUUGCAAGCAGGAGGUCGUCGGUUCGAAUCCGAUGCGGCUCCA